This is a long non-coding RNA of Mesocricetus auratus (golden hamster), 709 nucleotides long. RefSeq lists it as uncharacterized. The transcript is spliced from 4 exons. The record is from RefSeq and is a predicted model, not a curated record. NCBI's taxonomy places the organism in Eukaryota, Metazoa, Chordata, Mammalia, Rodentia, Cricetidae.
CUUGGAUUCAAGGAGGAUUCAGAACUGCAGGCUCUCCGACUUGGCAUGAAUGAGAAUUGAAGUUCCUGCCUUGUCCCCUGAGAGAACCCAGGCCAGCAACAGCCCUGAUCUCAAAAGCCUCACACAGUGGGAUUACAAGGUCGAGGGAGCUACAGAGACCCUAGGCUGGCCUUCAGUAUUACAAGCUGCUACCCAUGAGUAAAAGUACAUUUCCCAAGAUCAUUAGACUAAAGUAUAAGGUGUGGCGUGAGCACACUGAGUAUGGACCCCACAGCUAGAUGGGCAUUCCACACCUGUUCUCACCUGUUCUUGCCUACGCUGGAGAAGCUGUUGCAUCUAAAUGUGUAAAGACCAGACGUGUUUCCUUCUGGCCCAAGAGACAGUGGGCAUCUUACUGUGACCCUUUGACUCAUUCAGACUAUGGGUAGAGAUGGAGACUCGGAGUCACAUGUUCAGGGUCCCAGCCCUGCUUCUUGCCCCAGCUGUCUCUUGAUGGGUCUCUCCUAGGAGGUUACCUAACUGUACUCUAAUGCCCUUUCUAAUUCUGAGGGCUCCCAGAAUUCACUGAGUGGUAGCUAUGAGUUGAAGGAGUCUUGAGGAAGAUAACAGGAGAGGAAAUAUUCUCAAGAAUCUAUGCAGUUUGGAGGCAGGUGGAUCUCUGUGUUCGAGGCCAGCCUAGUCUAAAAAGUGAGUUCUGGGACAGCCAGAG